This is a non-coding RNA of Octodon degus (degu), 494 nucleotides long. Lineage: Eukaryota; Metazoa; Chordata; Mammalia; Rodentia; Octodontidae. The record is from the annotation of a RefSeq genome assembly.
CUCUGUCUUCUGUAAAAUCCCCUAGAGCAUUGUAGAUCCUCACAAUGGACUGGACCUGGGGAAUCCUCUUCUUGAUGGCAGCUGUAAAAAGUGCCCAAGGCGAGGUCCAGCUGGUGCAGUCUGGGGCUGAGCUGAGGAGGCCCGGUACCUCAGUGAAGGUCUCCUGCAAGGCUUCUGGCUACACCUUUAUAGAUUACUACAUGAACUGGGUGCGACAGAUUCCUGGACAGGGGCUGGAGUGGAUCGGAAGCAUCAAUCCAGAGAAUGGCAAUACUAAUUAUGCUCAGAAGUUCCAGGGCAGGACCACCUUCACUGCUGACACAUCCUCCAACACAGCCUACAUGCAGCUGAGUGGCUUAAAGUCUGAAGACUCAGCAGUGUAUUACUGUGCAAGGCACAGUGUGGUGACCCACAUCCUGCUUGUGUCAGAAACUCCGAGGGAGGAACAGCAGACAGGACGAUAUGACAGAGAUGAGGAGACUGAGUGUGCUUAG